CAGGCAGGAACAGUAGUGCUUGACCUUUUUGGAUACAUUUUCUCCUGACUUGUUGUAUAAGAAAAAGAAAGAAUUUGACCAGGCUUGACCUCCCAGGAAUCUCUAGUGCCAUGACCCAGUUGCUCCAGCCACAAUUACUUUCUAGCUGUUUUUGAAUACUCUCUCUCUUUUUUUGCUUUUUAGGGCCACACCCACAGCAUAUGGAGGUCCCAGUCUAGGGGUCGAAUCAGAACUACAGCUGCUGGCCUAUGCCACAGACACAGCAACCCCAGAUCCAAGUCACAUCUGCAACCUACACCACAGCUCAUGGAAAGCCAGAUCCUUAACCCACUGAGCGAGGUCAGGGAUCAAACCUGCAACCUCAUGGUUCCUAGCCGGAUUCAUUUCUGCUAUGCCACAACAGGAACUCCUGAACACACUGUCUCUUAUUUCUUAUCUUUAGACAAUGCGGCAUUUGUUAUUCCAUCUUUCAGGAAUGGUUAUGCCCUUUUCCGCCCCUCUAAAACUUCAAUUCAUCCUUUAAGACCCAAGGCCCCCUUUUCUAAAUUCUCUCAUGAAGGGUUACCUACUCUACCUGCAAUCCCACAGACCUGCCUUCAUACUUUCCUCUUACACCUAAAACCCUAAAAUAACCAAUCCCCAGAUCUGUAUCCCUUAGUGUCCUGUGAUGAGCUGAUGUACAAGAAUCCUGCCUUUCUCAUCUUUGUAGUCUCAGUAUUUAGAAUAAAGGAUGGCACACAGUAAACCUCUAAUGAGUGAGUGAUUCAGCCACCCUGAAACCAGCCUGGCAUCUGGUUGAGACUGCAGUGUGAAUGGCAGCUGCCUCAAGAUGAAAUCAUUGCACAAUUCUCUAAGACCUUCCUUCCUGAAAGUUGAGCCCAGAGAAGCAGAGACUCUGCCAUGAUUUGAUCCAGGCUUUUCCCCUCAAUUCAGCCUGCCCAAUUGCUUACCCCAUCUCCCCUCAUGAGCUGGUUAUUUUCUAUCAAGUCUCUGCUCCAUCUUCUAUUCUUCAACCCUCUCUGCCCUGUUUUGUGACCCAGAAUUCUGAUGCCUGUGGGUAGCUUUGUGAGAGAUUCUUUGGCUUAUGGCUCUGAGCUAGGUUCUGCCAAUUGGAAGCAUGGGCAGGAGGUCAUGGGGCAGGAAGGAAAGAGGCUGGGGUAUUUCUCUCCCUCUCCCAUUCUGCUUAGAGCCUCCUCUGCAGCAGCUGUGCCCACCCAGAACACUCUGAGAAGUGGUUUAAUCUGAUGGUUAGAACUAUGAGGUGUUUACUUUUGUGCAGCAUGUUGGGGCUGGUUUGGGGCUGGUAGUGAUGGAUAGAUAGACAGGAGGAAGGGAAAAGGGACAGAACAAUGGGGGAAAGGUGGGUUGAUGGAUUUUUCAGUCUUGCAUCCAUUUUCUGGUGGUCAUGCAGAUCUGAGCCUCUAUCUGUUCUGGCAGGCAGCACAGUCAAGUGGAAACAGAACUAGUGGACAGAGGACAGAGUGGGCUGAAUUUAAGCCAUACUCAAUUAUGGGCUGGGAGUUGUUCAACUUGGGCAAGUCACAACCUCUUUGAGCCUCAGUUUUUGAAAUCUUUAUAAUGGGAUAACAUGACUCCUUACACAGUAAAGAGAAUGUCAUGAUGUUAAAAUAUGUGAGUGAGCUGACCACAGUGUCCCAGAGCAAAAGCCAAAUCAAAGGCAGUUUUUUUCUUCUCUGGCUCCUGAGUGAUGAAUAGAUGGAGUGAAUGAAUGAACAAACAAAUCCUCUCUCAACAAAUCUUUUGUUCUAUCUUCGGUUGAGCUAAAAUCAGCCUUCCUAUAACUUCUACCUGUUGGACUUAGACCUGCCUUCUGGAGCCAAACAGAAUAAAUCAACUUGCUCUUCUAAAUGAAAACCCUUCAAAUAUUCCUGUUUAAUAAAUUGAAUAAACAGACUCCACUUUAAUAAAUUUUCCCCAGGCCUGCGGGCCUUUGCAAGGCAGGCAAUAUAAAUGAAGAUGAUGUCUGCACAUGAAAUGCUUUGUGGACCACAUGACUGCCACUCUGCCCAGAGGUGGAGGGGAGGUGGAGGAGGCUCAUUUUAGAUGAACCAGCAGUGCUCGUCUCACAUACAAGCUUUGGCCUUUCUAAACCGUGCCUAGAUAUCAUACAUCUUGACUUUACAAAGGACAUCAUGCAUAUUUAAAAAUCAAUCCUUUCUUUUCCUCUUGUGUAUUUCUUCUUUGUUUAUUUAUUUCAAAUAUACAGAAUACCUACUCUGUGCCAUGCACUCUGUUAAGCUCAUCCCAUGCAUCUCUCAUUAUCUCAUUCAGUCUUUAAGGGAGGUAUAAUGCCAAGAUCCCCAUAGCACAAAUGAGGGAACUUUGACUCUAAGUCAAAAAUUGUAUCCAGGACAUCUAGUGCUACAAGGAACAGAGCUGAAACUUGAACCCAGGUAGGUCUGUCCAGUGAGUUCUGCUACAUAAUGAUAUCUAUGGAAGAACAGGGCAGUUGAAGGAGAAAGCAACACACACAUAACGCGUGCGUGAGUAGACACACACACACACACACACACACACUGCUUUGCAGUAGGUCUUGAAGGAUGUUUGUAGGCAAAGAGGCAGCAUCCUGAACCAAGGGGUGGAGAUGUUUAAGAAUCUCUCUGGUCUCAGGGAUGGUUAGUAGUUUGAUGUACGUGAAGCACAUGAUACUUAGCUGAGGCUGGCAGGAGAUCAGGCCAGAUAGGUAGGCUGGGACCCAAGUGUGAAGCACAGGAAUGUGACACAGAUUUAAGGAGCCUGGGCUUGAAACAGUGGCGAUGAGGUGUCUGAGGGAGCAGCGAUCACUAUUCCUCAGAGGUUUAGGACCGAUUUUAUUGACUUCCACGCUCAGUGGCCUGGCUGCUCACCCACCAUUACACUGCUGUCACUAUUGGAGCUCAGGGAUCAUUUUUUUAGGUUCACCUAGGACUGGUUAAAAGCAGAUAUUCAGCUUUUAAAUCACUAGAUGGGAGACAAAGUAGGAAGAUGAGAUAGCCCAUAUAAAAAAAAGACAGGAAACAAAGGAAGCCCCAAGAAAGUAAAAAGGAGAGCAAGCAUAAAACAAAAAGACAGGAAUAAGACCACACCUAUCAGUUAUGACAGGAAAUAUAAACGGUUUAAGUCUCCCCUAAUAAAAGAUAAAGUCCUUCAGAUUGGUUUAAAAGCAAAAUACCACCAUAUGCUGCUUAUAAGAGAUGGACAGUAAAACAAAAACAAGAAAGAAGUGGGGAGUGGGAAACUGGGCAAAUAUUUAUCAGGCAUGAAAAGCAAACAAAAAGAAAAAGUCACAGUUGGCAACAUUUCAAAGUAGAAUUCAGGGAAAAAAGCAUUAUAGGAGACAAAGAAUUUUAUUUUAUAAUUACAAAAGGCUCAUUUGACAAUAAAGCAAUAAGAAGUGUGCUGUUACAUAACGGCAACAUAUAUAAGCAAAAACUCUGCAAAAUAUAAGGAGAUGGCCCUGAUAGAAAUAACUGUCUUGAAAUUGACUUUAACAAGAAAGACAAAACUAGAUGCAUACAUAAGUUUAUUAAAUUAUGUAUCCAUCUCUAAAAAUUGCUAAAACUAACAAUGUUAUAGGCACUGUUCUAAAUAUUUGCAUAUUUUAUUCUCUCAUUUAAUUCUCACAAUAACCCUGUGAGUUAAGAAAUUAUUAUUCCUAUAUUAAAGAUAAGAAAACUGAAGCACAAGGAGGCUAACCAAUUUACCCAAAAUUUUAAAACAACUGUGUUGUCAUAAGAGAUUAAGCCUGUUCUAAACUGAAACAGGUAUUCCCAGAGCCUGCCCUUUCAGCUAUUAUGUUAAUCUCAAAGAAAGAACUAUGGGCUCAGUGGUUAGCAAAUCCGACUAGCAUCCAUGAGGACAUGGGUUCAAUCCCUAGCCUCGCUCAGUGGGUUAAGGAUCCAGCAUUGCCAUGAGAUGUGUGAAACACUAACCAUAUCCAUCAGGAGGAACCUCAGGGAAGUAACAUCUGGAUAACUAAGAGCUCUGAAGACAACAGAAAGAUAUGAGGAAAAGCAGACUAAGUAGUGGUGAUGGGGAUGAUGAUGACAGCUAACAUUUAUCCAGGGCUUUCUGCGUGCCAGGCAGUGUUGCAAGCACUUUACAUGUAAUACUUCAUUUUAUCCUCACAAGAACGCUUAGAGUCAGAUAUUAUUUAAACCUCCAUUUUUUAGAUGAUGAACCUGAGCUCGAAAAUGAAGCCAUCUGUUAUGGCCAUAUAUCUAGAAAGUUAAAGCACAUGGAAAAUAUAAGAUGGGUUUAGGUGAGAAUUAUCCAUUCACUCAUCUUCCAUGUAAGAGCUGUGCUAAGUAGUAGCAGCAUGUUAGAAGUUGGAUUUGGGCUUGAGAGACAAAAGUUUAAGGUUUGAUAAAGUUAAGGUCACUAGUCAAAAUAAAAGAAUUUAAAAAUGAUUGCAGUUUUCUCAACAUGGAGUCACAGAAGUUCAUAUAGGAAAAGAUCUUAGACAUUACCUGCUUCCAGGUUCUUACUUUACCAAAGGAGAAAUUGAAGCCCAGGUAUGGGAGGUGACUACCUCACUGACAAACAACUAUUAAGUGACAGAACAAGUUCAAAAUCCUAGAUAUAUUAACUCUUACUCAUGCCACCUUUCCAAACUAAGCAGGACAAAUGAAACGUACUGCAUGAUUAGGGAGUUGAAUACGGGUUGCUUUUGUGGAAGUGUCGAGAUCUAUUGCUGACCCACCUAUUCAAGUCUUAUUGACAAGUAUUUAUAUAUAUAAUAUAUGAGACAAGUAUUUAUACACACACACACACACACACACACACACACACACAUCAGAAUCUAAGAGAGCUUUAGGAAUUAUUUGUUUACAUCCCUAUUUAAAAUACUGGGAAACUAUGGCUCAACAUAUUUAAAUAACCUGCCCUGGUUUCCUGGUAGCUUAGAGAAUUUCCAUUCCCAUAGUGAAUUUAACACCCUACCUGAUUUAGCAGCACUAAAAGACAACUGUCUGUACAGAUGAACUCCAAACCA
Molecule: long non-coding RNA, 4993 nt
Filed under: Sus scrofa (pig)
Lineage: Eukaryota; Metazoa; Chordata; Mammalia; Artiodactyla; Suidae
Description: lncRNA (ENSSSCG00030017697.1)
Source: RNAcentral